This 3723-nucleotide long non-coding RNA is filed under the name Mytilus galloprovincialis (Mediterranean mussel). Lineage: Eukaryota; Metazoa; Mollusca; Bivalvia; Mytilida; Mytilidae. The record is from RNAcentral.
CAGUUUGCUGUUCUUAUUCAUUGAUAUAUGUGAAAGGAAAUUUUGUAUUUCAUGUGGAUUUUUCAUAAACUGCCGCUUUUCAAGGUAAUUGUGAAAAAAAUUAAUUGCUUGCUCCUCCGUUAAACGAACCUUGUAAGAACACUCAAAUAUGCUCAUCUUAAGAACAUUUCAUACACCCUGUUUUAUUAUAUCAUACUUGUAAACUAGAACAGUUAACAACUUACAAACACUUCCCUGUUAUUUUCUGUUUGAUAAUUGUUAAAAAAUCACUCAUUUCGACAUGAAAGGUCUCUGCAGUAAUGAACGAUAUGACAAUAUUUGAAAAACCAAAACGUAUUUAAACGUUGGAUAGCUGAUCAAACCAGGAUACACCUAAGAUAAAGUCAAAUUCGAACAAGAAACAGAGCUGAAGAAGAUAUAUCCCUUAGUUUAUAAUUAUUUUCGAAAUGUUAUAACAACAACUUUCAAUCAAAACAUAUACGUAUUUAACAAGAGAUGUAGCAACUUUGCUGGUGACAUCACCGGGGACUAACAGUCGAACCAUCAGAUGUAUCGACCAAAUGGUCGGUAUCACAUUAACGGUACCUUUUAAACAGCAACAGAUCCGCGUUUUGACACAACAUGUUAUGUCAAUAAUACUCGAGGCUACAAUACUUGAAAAAAAUAUACUUGAAGAGCUCAUUAAAAAAAGGAUAUGUAGCCAAAACCUGACAAGUAUUCAGUGCUUUAAGUGAGGGAUGUAUGUUUCAAAAUGGCACACCACUUCCUUAAUGUUAUAACAACAAAUUUCAAUAAUGAAAUUACCUAUUUUCAUAAUAUUAUUACCAACGAACUGGUUACUUUGCUGACGGUUAACUUGGGUUCAGCAAACUGAAAUAUGAUAUGAUGUCAUAUUAUGUUGAUACAUUUUAUUAUGGGUAAAUGAAUAUUAAGUUUUAAAUCCUUUGAUGGUCAAUGGCAAUAUUUUAUCUUGUAUUUGCCUUAGUUAAACGAUUCUUUAACCUCUAAAAUCUUGUGAGAAAAAUAAUUUGAAAAUUUAUGUUCCAUGGACUAGAAAAGAAUAGUCAAUAUUAACCAAAACAAUACAAUUAUGUAAUAUUUCAAUCAAUAAUCAACAAUUAUAAAGUACUCUUUCAAAUCAAUUGCAUAGCACACUUUUGUGUAGUUUAUAAAUCGUUAAUGAAUGAAGUACAUUUUAUCAAAUGUGUACAUACUAUAUAACCCUAGGUUGAGUGUUUUUUUUUAUUACUUUGUGUUUCUUGUAUUAAGUGGUCCAUUUCUUUUCCAUAUAUUAUAUAAUUAGGUAUUAAAAGAAGAGGUUAAUUUUCACUUGAUAAAAUCAAUGAAGCAUGAUAACCCUCGAUAUCACUUCUGUGAUAAAACGUACAGAUACUGAUAAUACAUUUGUCAACAAUAGUAUACCCUUGUAUUAGAAAACAUUUACCUAAUAUACACGAAGGUAGUAUGGUUAAUGUAAAGGGAUAUAUUUCAACAAUUCCGGAGGAAGUUGUUUAUCGAACGAAAUCGACCUUUCAAAAUUUUUGAACGUGGAUUUAACUUUCUUAACUACCGAUAAAUCACGCAAAACAAACACUUGUUCAGUUUUCAAGGAAAAAAAGGAUUGUAAUUAGUUUGCAACCACAAUCGGACAAUAUUUCUCUUGUUCUAACCUUUUCGGUAUCUAUUUAAAUCAGUAUUAUCGACUUAUUUCCCCACGAAUGUAAACAUAUAAUUCGAAAGUGUUAUUUCAAUCAACAACGACGAAUCUAAUAUAUUUAUAUUUCAUUGCUCACUAGAACGAUAACGGAUUGAAAACACUUACACAAUUUUUCUGUUUAAUGUUGUAGUAGGAAAUAGUGUUUUGUGACCCAAUUUUUUCUCUUGUUAUUCUGAAAGCAGAUUUGAAAAGUGAGAGGCAAAAAAUAUCAAAGGGACAAUCAAUCUCAUAAAUUGAAAAGACUGACAAUGCCAUGGUUUCAAAAGAAAAAACAAAAACAUACGGACAUUAGUACACAUAACACAAACCAAAAAAACACUUAAGACUGAGCAACAUAAACCUCACCUAUAACUGGGAGUUAUCUCAGUCGCGCCGGACAGGGAAGCAAUUUCUGUUCCACAUUUUGCACCCGUCGUGUUGGUACAAAUCCGGUAUGUCUAAUUCGGUAGGUCAAAUUCUCUUACAUUUUAUUCCUAAUUAUGCAACUUAGUUUACCUUGUGUUCAUAAUAAGAUUCCAUUUCUUUGUAUAAAAUAUACUAAACGUGUUAUAUUUUCACAGAAUGUAACUUGAAAACAAGCUUGAGGACCUAUCAUUUUGAUCAUAUUCAAAAUAUUUCAAAAUAUAUUCUACAAGUAAUUAAAAGAUCUAUAUGUUUAUACUCCUGUUCCUCCUUGCGUGAACAUUUCGAUUUUUCAGUGAAAUAUUUUUACUGGUCCGCGAAUCCCGAAAACUGUGUAUUGAGUAUUUCUAAAAAUGAACUUUGCUGAUACAUUAUUCUAUUGCAGGAUAGUUAAUCAACCUCAUUUAGUCGCUAUACCUAAAACCUAUGAUGUGACCUUGGGUUAGUUGGAGAUCGAUUCUAUAUGUAAUCAGCUUGUUAAAGAUAGCAAGGCGGUAUGGCAAACAGCCAAGGAAUCCUCUUUCAUGGAAAAAUUGAUGGUGGGAAUAGAAAAAUACAUUUCAAGGUUCAUGGACCAGAAAGAAUGAAUUGUUUACUUCUAUAUUUACGACCUGAUAUAAUAUCACUUAAUGGCGUAACAAUGAUAGCUGAUGUCACAGUAAAUGACCACGAUUUACCAAUGAUCUUUGUUUCUGGAACAGAAUAUUGUCUUGAGAUCUAUGGAUUAAAAAAGGAAAAUGGAAUGGAAGAACAUUAUACGGUUUUAGCCUACGGAUGCACACACUUUUUAGGUAAAACUUUAACACGUUACUAUCUGUGCCAACUUCAUAAUAAAAACAUAAUAUAAAUAAUGUUAAUCAUAACACCAAUAUGGAUAGAAAUGAUUAUAAGGAUAAUAACAUGAACAAGAAUGUGUCCAUAGUUCACAGAUACCCAACUCGCACUAUCUUUUACUAUUUUUAGUGAACGGUGAAAUUGGCAUUAAAAUUUGAGAGAUCUUACUAUAUAUGUACUAAAUUUCAAGUUGAUUGGACUUCAACUUCAUAAAAAAAACCACUUUGACCAAAAACUUUUACCGCUAAAGCGGGACAAAUGGACCAAAGAACGAACGGACGGAUGAAGGAACAAACCAACAAAUGCUCAAACAUAAAAACAUAAUGUCCGUAGGUGGGAUAUGACACUAAAUAUUUCAAACAAAAAGAAUAUUCCUUUAAUGUAUCAUAAAUUAAUUUAUUGUAUAUCACUCAAGCAAGAUGAAAUUCACGCUUUUAAAGCGCUUGUACUUUGAUAACUGAUGAAAAAUCAUUAUAGAAUCCAAUUGCCCGACUGAUAAUGAAAUAAUGAAAUGAAAAAAUCUAUAUGAAAUAUUAAUUUAAACAAAAAUAAAACCACGAAACUAGCUGGUAUAUUUAAAAGCAAAGAAGGACGAUGCUAAUAUUUGAUGAUUUCUCUCACCACGCAAACACUAACUGGUUUGUAAUAAUUUUCUGUAGUUAAAUUUGCAAGGAAUGAUAAAGAGUCUCUAUUAAAACAUGGACAUAUCUUAUAUCAGACAACUUGACAUGGGUGGGAAUCUCCUAUGAUUAAAAUUAUCAACUGAAGCC